GGGUGGCAGCAGAGUUGGAAUGGGAUAGGUAGUUCCCCAGUUUCCAGGACCCAAGACGGCCUGCUGGGAUAGGGUAUAUAAGUCCGGAAGGGGCUGGACCAGGGACAGGCUAGCCCAGACUUCAGGUACUGGCUGUGAUGAGGAGGAGUGGGCUAGUCCCCCGAGUCGGUCACCAGCUCAACUGAACUCUCAGAUAGAGUUUUUCUCUUGUUGCCCAGGCUGGAAUGCAAUGGCACAAUCUUGGCUCACCGCAACCUCUGCCUCCCGGGUUCAAGAGAUUCUCCUGCCUCAGCCUCCCAAGUAAGUGGGAUUACAGAAAUUGGAUUUCACUCUGUUGCCCAGGCUAGAGUCCAGUGGUGGCAUCCUAGAUCACUGCAUCCUCAACCUCCUGAGCCCAAGUGAUCCUCCUGCCUCAGCCUACAGAGCAGCUGGGAACACAGGCUCAUGCCACCAUGCCCAGUGAAACACAUUCCUGAUCUUCUCCAUGAUCUUCAUGGCCAUGAUGGUCUUCCCUGAGCCAGGAAAAUGAAUGCCUCUCUUGAGUCCAUGGAACGCACAGAGGUCUCAGAUCUACGGUGUAAUGAAGAACUGAUGCUGCAAAGGCGGGGCUCGACAGAGCCAUCUUCAGGGAAAGGGCCACUGCUCCAAGAUUUAACAAAAAUGUAAAAACACCUUCCUUGUUGCUUGGUCUCAAAGAAAGCCUGCAGAUCUGAAGACUGAAUAAGGUCUCUCAAAGACUGUUCUAAAUCCAGUCCCAUCUCCACAGGAUGCUCAACCUUCUUGGCCAUCUGAAUCACUCCUCCUCCUGAGUUUAAUAAAGCACAUGCAGCCCGUGUAA
Long non-coding RNA from Symphalangus syndactylus (siamang), 838 nucleotides. RefSeq lists it as uncharacterized. NCBI's taxonomy places the organism in Eukaryota, Metazoa, Chordata, Mammalia, Primates, Hylobatidae. The record is from RefSeq and is a predicted model, not a curated record.